Molecule: non-coding RNA, 727 nt
Organism: Camellia sinensis
Lineage: Eukaryota; Viridiplantae; Streptophyta; Magnoliopsida; Ericales; Theaceae
Source: RefSeq, a predicted model, not a curated record
GCAAUAGAAAGCACGGAAAAGGAAAGAAAGAGGCAAAGAAGAGAGAAAUUGUACAUAGUUGCUUUUUGGCUAUUUAGCUUGGUAAGAUGGGAUUUUAAUAAAGCUCUUUCAGCUAAGCAAGGUUGGCGGUUGCUUACUAUCCAAAUUCAAAUUUUCUAAAGCUAGCUUGAGGAGUAAACCAUUGACAUUGUUUAGAGGAGUAUUUGGAGUGCAAAGUAUUUUUUGGAGGCUGCGCUGCACUGGCAUAUUGGGAAUGGAAGGUCUAUGAAGAUUUGGAAAGAUAUAUGGAUUCCAAGGCCUUACUCUUACAAACCUAUUUCUGUUACAAAAUUCUUGCAUGCUGAUGCUAAGUUGGCAUAUCAUUUGGAGAUGGUUUUGUGAAGCAGAAAAACACAAGUCAGGUCAGAUGCUGGGAGUUUUGAAAGGGCAUUUUCAAAAAAGAUUUGGUUGCUGAAAUUUCUGCAUAAAGUGAAAAUCUUUGCAUGGAAAACAUGUUCGAAUAUCCUUCAUGUUCAAUCAAAGUUGAGGAGGUGCAAAUUAAUUCAAUUCAAUGACUGUUAUUUCCCUUUUGCUGCAGAAGUUUGGUCAUUAAGCCCUCUUUACUCUGUUCUAACCAUGCGCUGCUUAAAAUUUUCUAUUCUUGAUCUAGGAGUUUAGCCAAAAGAUGGAUGUAUCACCUUUGAGAUUAUUCUUUUUUUAUUUGCUGGAGUAUUUGGAACAAUCACAA